Molecule: transfer RNA, 78 nt
Filed under: Brucella suis
Lineage: Bacteria; Pseudomonadati; Pseudomonadota; Alphaproteobacteria; Hyphomicrobiales; Brucellaceae
Description: tRNA-Ile
Rfam family: tRNA
About the family: Transfer RNA (tRNA) molecules are approximately 80 nucleotides in length.
Source: RNAcentral
GGGCUUGUAGCUCAGUUGGUUAGAGCACACGCUUGAUAAGCGGUGGGGUCGGAGGUUCAAGUCCUCCCAGGCCCACCA